GACGAACGCUGGCGGCGUGCUUAACACAUGCAAGUCGAACGGAAAGGCCCUGCUUUUGUGGGGUGCUCGAGUGGCGAACGGGUGAGUAACACGUGAGUAACCUGCCCUUGACUUUGGGAUAACUUCAGGAAACUGGGGCUAAUACCGGAUAGGAGCUCCUGCUGCAUGGUGGGGGUUGGAAAGUUUCGGCGGUUGGGGAUGGACUCGCGGCUUAUCAGCUUGUUGGUGGGGUAGUGGCUUACCAAGGCUUUGACGGGUAGCCGGCCUGAGAGGGUGAACGGCCACAGUGGGACUGAGAUACGGACCAGACUCCUACGGGAGGCAGCAGUGGGGAAUAUUGCACAAUGGGCGGAAGCCUGAUGCGGCAACGCCGCGUGCGGGAUGACGGCCUUCGGGUUGUAAACCGCUUUCGCCUGUGACGAAGCGUGAGUGACGGUAAUGGGUAAAGAAGCACCGGCUAACUACGUG
RNAcentral lists this ribosomal RNA (468 nucleotides) under uncultured bacterium. Its description in RNAcentral is "partial 16S ribosomal RNA". It matches the Rfam family "Bacterial small subunit ribosomal RNA", at positions 28 to 507 of the family's 1533-position model. The record is from RNAcentral.